AUGAACGCUGGCGGCGUGCCUAAUACAUGCAAGUCGAGCGAACGGACGAGAAGCUUGCUUCUCUGAUGUUAGCGGCGGACGGGUGAGUAACACGUGGAUAACCUACCUAUAAGACUGGGAUAACUUCGGGAAACCGGAGCUAAUACCGGAUAAUAUUUUGAACCGCAUGGUUCAAAAGUGAAAGACGGUCUUUCUGUCACUUAUAGAUGGAUCCGCGCUGCAUUAGCUAGUUGGUAAGGUAACGGCUUACCAAGGCAACGAUGCAUAGCCGACCUGAGAGGGUGAUCGGCCACACUGGAACUGAGUCACGGUCCAGACUCCUACGGGAGGCAGCAGUAGGGAAUCUUCCGCAAUGGGCGAAAGCCUGACGGAGCAACGCCGCGUGAGUGAUGAAGGUCUUCGGAUCGUAAAACUCUGUUAUUAGGGAAGAACAUAUGUGUAAGUAACUGUGCACAUCUUGACGGUACCUAAUCAGAAAGCCACGGCUAACUACGUG
This 496-nucleotide ribosomal RNA is filed under the name uncultured bacterium. RNAcentral describes it as "partial 16S ribosomal RNA". It matches the Rfam family "Bacterial small subunit ribosomal RNA", at positions 29 to 507 of the family's 1533-position model. The record is from RNAcentral.